UAACACAACAUCUUGGAGAACCGGACUAAUACUCCUACCGAGACUAUCCAAGUAAAAUACGUCUCUCAUACCUGGCCUGGAGGGUAGGUCAGGAAUACUAUAACUU
This 106-nucleotide non-coding RNA is filed under the name unclassified sequences. The record is from Rfam.